UACGUAGGGGGCUAGCGUUGUCCGGAAUCAUUGGGCGUAAAGCGCGUGUAGGCGGUCCGGUAAGUCCGCUGUGAAAGUCGGGGCUCAACCUCGGAUGCCGGUGGAUACUGUCGGGCUUGAGUACGGAAGAGGCGAGUGGAAUUCCUGGUGUAGCGGUGAAAUGCGCAGAUAUCAGGAGGAACACCAAUUGCGAAGGCAGCUCGCUGGGACGUUACUGACGCUGAGACGCGAAGCGUG
Molecule: ribosomal RNA, 237 nt
Filed under: uncultured bacterium
Lineage: Bacteria
Description: partial 16S ribosomal RNA
Rfam family: Bacterial small subunit ribosomal RNA
Source: RNAcentral